UGACCUGCGGAAGGAUCAUUAUUGAAUGAACUUGGUGUGGUUGUUGCUGGCUCUCUUGUGGGGGCAUGUGCACACCCGCCAUCCUCAUCUCUCCACCUGUGCACCUCUUGUAGACCUGGAUGAAUUUUCCGAGGUAACUCGGUCGGGAGGAAUGCUGCGCUCUUUGCGUCGGCUUUCUUUGCACUUCCAAGCCUACGUUUUUUUCAUAUACCCGUAGUAUGUAACAGAAUGUAUCAUUGGGCCUAAGUGCCUAUAAACCUUAUACAACUUUCAGCAACGGAUCUCUUGGCUCUCGCAUCGAUGAAGAACGCAGCGAAAUGCGAUAAGUAAUGUGAAUUGCAGAAUUCAGUGAAUCAUCGAAUCUUUGAACGCACCUUGCGCUCCUUGGUAUUCCGAGGAGCAUGCCUGUUUGAGUGUCAUUUAAUUCUCAACCUUAUUAGCUUUUGUUGAUAAUGGCUUGGAUGUGGGGGUUUUCUUUUGCUGGCUUUCUUCGGAUGUCAGCUCCCCUUAAAUGUAUUAGCCGGUGCCCUGCGUGGACUAUCCGUUGGUGUGAUAAUUAUCUACGCCGUUGGAUGUCUGCAAAUAGGUUUUGCACUGCUUCUAACUGUCUGUUCAUUUGGACAAUACAUGACAAUUUGACCUCAAAUCAGG
Molecule: ribosomal RNA, 651 nt
Filed under: Hymenogaster citrinus
Lineage: Eukaryota; Fungi; Basidiomycota; Agaricomycetes; Agaricales; Hymenogastraceae
Description: eukaryotic LSU rRNA
Rfam family: 5.8S ribosomal RNA (bases 266-419)
Source: RNAcentral